GACGAACCGUGCGAACGUUGUUCGGAAUCACUGGGCUUAAAGGGCGCGUAGGCGGGCAACCAAGUCCGGGGUGAAAGCCCCCGGCUCAACCGGGGAAGUGCCUUGGAUACUGGUUGUCUCGAGGGAGAUAGGGGUCUGCGGAACUUCUGGUGGAGCGGUGAAAUGCGUUGAUAUCAGAAGGAACGCCGGUGGCGAAAGCGGCGGACUGGAUCUCUUCUGACGCUGAGGCGCGAAAGCUAGGGGAGCGAACGGG
RNAcentral lists this unclassified non-coding RNA (253 nucleotides) under uncultured Planctomycetia bacterium. RNAcentral's name for it is "contains 16S-23S intergenic spacer region". It matches the Rfam family "Bacterial small subunit ribosomal RNA", at positions 524 to 776 of the family's 1533-position model. The record is from RNAcentral. Lineage: Bacteria; Pseudomonadati; Planctomycetota; Planctomycetia.